Molecule: long non-coding RNA, 274 nt
Filed under: Mytilus galloprovincialis (Mediterranean mussel)
Lineage: Eukaryota; Metazoa; Mollusca; Bivalvia; Mytilida; Mytilidae
Source: RNAcentral
GUGCUUUUUUAAUUUUUGGGGGCAUUAUGAUGACCUAUACAUUUUUGUAGUUGUUAAUUUCUGUGUCAUUUAGUCUCUUGGCAAUCAUAAUACAUAUUCUUUUUUAUAUAUGGAGAUGUCGUUAUUACGACAUGUUAUGUCGAAAUUACGACAUAGCGAUGUCGUUAUAACGACAUGUUUUGUCGAAAUUACGACAUAGCAAUAUCGUAAUAACGACAUGUUAUGUCGAAAUUACGACAUGCUAUGUCGUAAUUACGACAUAAAUUUUUUUUUU